AUGAACGCUGGCGGCGUGCCUAAUACAUGCAAGUCGAGCGAACAGAUAAGGAGCUUGCUCCUUUGACGUUAGCGGCGGACGGGUGAGUAACACGUGGGUAACCUACCUAUAAGACUGGAAUAACUCCGGGAAACCGGGGCUAAUGCCGGAUAAUAUUUAGAACCGCAUGGUUCUAAAGUGAAAGAUGGUUUUACUAUCACUUAUAGAUGGACCCGCGCCGUAUUAGCUAGUUGGUGGGGUAAUGGCUUACCAAGGCAACGAUACGUAGCCGACCUGAGAGGGUGAUCGGCCACACUGGAACUGAGACACGGUCCAGACUCCUACGGGAGGCAGCAGUAGGGAAUCUUCCGCAAUGGGCGAAAGCCUGACGGAGCAACGCCGCGUGAGUGAUGAAGGUCUUCGGAUCGUAAAACUCUGUUAUUAGGGAAGAACAAAUGUGUAAGUAACUGUGCACGUCUUGACGGUACCUAAUCAGAAAGCCACGGCUAACUACGUGCCAGCAGCCGCGGUAAUAC
This 515-nucleotide ribosomal RNA is filed under the name uncultured bacterium. RNAcentral's name for it is "bacterial SSU rRNA". It matches the Rfam family "Bacterial small subunit ribosomal RNA", at positions 29 to 526 of the family's 1533-position model. The record is from RNAcentral.